Molecule: ribosomal RNA, 321 nt
Filed under: Triticum aestivum (bread wheat)
Lineage: Eukaryota; Viridiplantae; Streptophyta; Magnoliopsida; Poales; Poaceae
Description: partial small subunit ribosomal RNA
Source: RNAcentral
AUGAGUUACAUGGGGCAGUGUGGUUCUCGAAAUUGGAUCUUCGGUCAGGAUACCAUCAAAUUCGGUUGGCACCAGGUGAGGAGUACAAAACAGCGUUCCAAACCCAUUCAGGUCACUAUGAAUUCAAGGUGGUUUCCUUUGGGUUGGCUGGGGGUCCGGCCACUUUCAACGGAGGACUCCAUACCACACUCCAACCCCUGCUCCGCCACUGUGUGUUGCUGUUCUUCGACGACAUUCUCGUCUUCAGUAAAACUCUUAAAGAUCAUGCCAGUCAUCUGCGACAAGUGUUCCAACUGCUACAGCGAGAUCAGUGGAAAGUAA